Molecule: unclassified non-coding RNA, 1015 nt
Filed under: Hevea brasiliensis (rubber tree)
Lineage: Eukaryota; Viridiplantae; Streptophyta; Magnoliopsida; Malpighiales; Euphorbiaceae
Source: RNAcentral
GACUCGUAUAUUUAAUAAAUAAAUUUCAAAAUAUAUCUAUCUUAAUUUAUAGUGAACGAAUUUAGACGAGAAAAAAAAUCUGAGAAUAUAUAUUAAGAGGCAUGCAUGAAGCUGUAAGCCUGUAGAUAUGGAUUACCCUUUCUUGCCACUUCGUUAUCUCUUAGUGUGAGCUUUGGUGAUAUCUUUUUUGAGCACCUGAUCAACAACCUUUCCAAAUUCAUUGAAAUUGGUAAUGGCUUGGUGAGAUUGGUCAUCGUCUUGGGAAAUUGGUGGAGACUGGAAGUGUGUUCGAACUUCUGUGAAUUCUUCCCAAUAUUUGGAGGCUUCUUCUUUUGGAGAGUCUAACAUGAUGUGAAUGAUUGCCUUAUAUAAAGGACGUCUUGCAUCAGAAAUUUCUUCGUGACUAAGGCAUUCACAUUUUAAAGCCUUAUCGUAAUCUCCCUAGAAAUGCAUCAUCAAGAAAAUUACGAGAAAAUACAGAAAGAAUGGCAAAAAUACUAAAUUUGGCUUUUGUCGGUGCUCUAAUAUCACUUGUUUAUCAUGAAUCGAAAUAAAUAGGAAUGCUUGCUGUUGCCAGUAAAUGAAUUGAUGCAAUAAAUAAAAUGGCAAGUGGAGUGAAACACCUUGUAAAUAAGCAUUUCAACAAGCAACAUUUCAAUUUCAUAAGCUUCUUGAGGUUUUUCCUCCAUUCUGGCCUUUUUCACUGCACUUUCGAGUAUUCCCACUGCAACUGCUUCCUUUCCACUCAUUUCCAGCUUUGCAACAGCGCUCUGCAGCUUUUUGAAAUCAGGUUGUUCCUCUUCGAGUAGAACUUUUAAUUCAGAUUCAGCUGCGUUUAGUGAUGCUGCAUCUGCUCUAGCUUGAUGGUAAUCAGUUAGCCUUUCCAUGGCCAGUUUGCCUCCAUGGAGAGCUCCCAUGGACAUGGACCUUGCAAAAACACCAUCAUUUUUGCUUUUAAAAGCAUGUUUUGCAUAAUAAAAUACCACGCAUGUUCCUGCAAUGAUCACAAUUGGAG